CAGUAGCCGCGGUAAUACGUAGGUGGCAAGCGUUAUCCGGAAUUAUUGGGCGUAAAGCGCGCGUAGGCGGUUUUUUAAGUCUGAUGUGAAAGCCCACGGCUCAACCGUGGAGGGUCAUUGGAAACUGGAAAACUUGAGUGCAGAAGAGGAAAGUGGAAUUCCAUGUGUAGCGGUGAAAUGCGCAGAGAUAUGGAGGAACACCAGUGGCGAAGGCGACUUUCUGGUCUGUAACUGACGCUGAUGUGCGAAAGUGUGGGGAUCAAACAGGAUUAGAUACCCCCGUAGUCCCUGUCUCUUAUAA
This 301-nucleotide ribosomal RNA is filed under the name uncultured bacterium. Its description in RNAcentral is "partial 16S ribosomal RNA". It matches the Rfam family "Bacterial small subunit ribosomal RNA", at positions 509 to 809 of the family's 1533-position model. The record is from RNAcentral.